Molecule: ribosomal RNA, 602 nt
Filed under: uncultured archaeon
Lineage: Archaea
Description: bacterial SSU rRNA
Rfam family: Archaeal small subunit ribosomal RNA
Source: RNAcentral
AGGCAGACGGCUCAGUAACACGUAGUCAACCUACCCUAUGGACAAGAAUAAUCUCGGGAAACUGGGCAUAAUUCUUGAUAGAUCAUAAUGCCUGGAAUGGUUUAUGGUUAAAAUGAUUCGUCGCCAUAGGAUGGGACUGCGGCCUAUCAGCUUGUUGGUGAGGUAAUGGCCCACCAAGGCGAUUACAGGUACGGGCUCUGAGAGGAGAAGCCCGGAGAUGGGUACUGAGACACGGACCCAGGCCCUAUGGGGCGCAGCAGGCGAGAAAACUUUGCAAUGUGCGAAAGCACGACAAGGUUAAUCCGAGUGAUUUCUGCUAAAGAAAUCUUUUGCCAGUCAUAAAACCACUGGUGAAUAAGGGGCGGGCAAGUUCUGGUGUCAGCCGCCGCGGUAAAACCAGCACCUCAAGUGGUCAGGAUGAUUAUUGGGCCUAAAGCAUCCGUAGCCGGCUUGGUUAGUUUUCGGUUAAAUCCAUGUGCUCAACGCAUGGGCUGCCGAAAAUACUGCAUAGCUAGGGAGUGGGAGAGGUAGACGGUACUCAGUAGGAAGGGGUAAAAUCCUUUGAUCUAUUGAUGACCACCUGUGGCGAAGGCGGUCUACCA